GUUGUAGUCUGGAGAAGUGCUUUCCGCGCUGGACCGUGUAAAAGUCUCUUGGAACAGAGCGUCAUAGAGGGUGAGAAUCCCGUCUCUGACAUGGACUACCAGUGCUUUGUGAUGCGCUCUCGAAGAGUCGAGUUGUUUGGGAAUGCAGCUCAAAAUGGGUGGUAAAUUCCAUCUAAAGCUAAAUAUUGGCGAGAGACCGAUAGCGAACAAGUACCGUGAGGGAAAGAUGAAAAGCACUUUGGAAAGAGAGUUAAACAGUACGUGAAAUUGCUGAAAGGGAAACGCUUGAAGUCAGUCGCAUUGUUUGGAACUCAGCCUUGCUUUUUGCUUGGUGCACUUUCUGAAUGAUGGGCCAGCAUCAAUUUUGACCGUUGGAAAAGGUCUGGGGGAAUGUGGCAGUUGUUUACAGCUGUGUUAUAGCCUCCAGUCACAUACGGCGGUCGGGAUUGAGGAAUGCAGCGCGCCGCAAGGUAGGGGAGAUCUCCCACUUCCGCGCUUAGGAUGCUGGCGUAAUGGCUUUAAACGACCCGUCUUGAAACACGGACCAAGGAGUCUAACAUGCCUGCGAGUGUUUGGGUGGAAAACCCGAGCGCGUAAUGAAAGUGAAAGUUGAGACCUCUGUCGUGGAGGGCAUCGACGCCCGGACCUGACGUUCUCUGAGGGAUCCGCGGUAGAGCAUGUAUGUUGGGACCCGAAAGAUGGUGAACUAUGCCUGAAUAGGGUGAAGCCAGAGGAAACUCUGGUG
Molecule: ribosomal RNA, 745 nt
Filed under: Perenniporia fraxinea
Lineage: Eukaryota; Fungi; Basidiomycota; Agaricomycetes; Polyporales; Polyporaceae
Description: partial large subunit ribosomal RNA
Rfam family: Eukaryotic large subunit ribosomal RNA
Source: RNAcentral